GAGGGGCAGCGGGGUUGUAGCAAUACAACUGCCGGCGACCGGCGCACGGGUGAGUAACACGUAUGUAACCUGCCCUCUGCAGGGGGAUAAGCGGAAGAAAUUCCGUCUAAUACCGCAUAAUACAAUUUGGAGACAUCUCCGGGUUGUCAAAGGAGUGAUCCGGCAGAGGAUGGACAUGCGGCGCAUUAGCUAGUCGGCGGGGUAACGGCCCACCGAGGCUACGAUGCGUAGGGGUUCUGAGAGGAAGGUCCCCCACACUGGUACUGAGACACGGACCAGACUCCUACGGGAGGCAGCAGUGAGGAAUAUUGGUCAAUGGGCGGAAGCCUGAACCAGCCAAGUCGCGUGAGGGAAGACGGUCCUAUGGAUUGUAAACCUCUUUUGCAGGGGAGCAAGGCGCGGUACGUGUACCGCGAAGGAGAGUACCCUGAGAAAAAGCAUCGGCUAACUCCGUGCCAGCAGCCGCGGUAAUACGGAGGAUGCGAGCGUUAUCCGGAUUUAUUGGGUUUAAAGGGUGCGCAGGCGGACUGUUAAGUCAGCGGUAAAAUGUCGGUGCUCAACACCGGCCGGCCGUUGAAACUGGCAGCCUUGAGUGAGCGAGAAGUAUGCGGAAUGCGUGGUGAAGCGGUGAAAUGCAUAGAUCUCUGAGAAAACUCCGAUUGCGAAGGCAGCAUACCGGCGCUCAACUGACGCUCAGGCACGAAAGCGUGGGUAUCGAACAGGUUUAGAUACCCUGGUAGUCCACGCAGUAAACGAUGAAUGCUCACUGUCCGGGCCGUUUAAGGCCUGGGUGGUCAAGCGAAAGCGUUAAGCAUUCCACCUGGGGAGUACGCCGGCAACGGUGAAACUCAAAGGAAUUGACGGGGGCCCGCACAAGCGGAGGAACAUGUGGUUUAAUUCGAUGAUACGCGAGGAACCUUACCCGGGCUCAAACGGAAGGGGACAGUAUGAGAAAUCAUACAUUCCUUCGGGACCGCUUCCGAGGUGCUGCAUGGUUGUCGUCAGCUCGUGCCGUGAGGUGUCGGCUUAAGUGCCAUAACGAGCGCAACCCCUAUCGACAGUUGCUAGCAGGUAAAGCUGAGGACUCUGUCGAGACUGCCGGCGCAAGCUGUGAGGAAGGCGGGGAUGACGUCAAAUCAGCACGGCCCUUACGUCCGGGGCGACACACGUGUUACAAUGGCAGGUACAGCGGGAGGCCACCCGGCGACGGGGCGCAGAACCCGAAAACCUGUCUCAGUUCGGAUUGGAGUCUGCAACCCGACUCCAUGAAGCUGGAUUCGCUAGUAAUCGCGCAUCAGCCAC
This 1302-nucleotide ribosomal RNA is filed under the name uncultured bacterium. RNAcentral describes it as "partial 16S ribosomal RNA". It matches the Rfam family "Bacterial small subunit ribosomal RNA", at positions 64 to 1355 of the family's 1533-position model. The record is from RNAcentral.